Molecule: ribosomal RNA, 251 nt
Filed under: uncultured prokaryote
Description: partial 16S rRNA
Rfam family: Bacterial small subunit ribosomal RNA
Source: RNAcentral
ACGGAGGGUGCAAGCGUUAUUCGGAUUUAUUGGGCGUAAAGGGCGCGUAGGCGGCUUUUUAAGUCAGAUGUGAAAUCCUGGGGCUCAACCUCGGAAGUGCAUUUGAAACUGGAUAGCUUGAGUAUGGGAGAGGGAAGCGGAAUUCCUAGUGUAGCGGUGAAAUUCGUAGAUAUCAGGAAGAACACCGGUGGCGAAGGCGGUUUCCCGGACCAAUACUGACGCUGAGGUGCGAAGGCGUGGGGAUCAAACAG